CAAUAGCGUAUAUUAAUGUUGUUGCAGUUAAAAAGCUCGUAGUUGGAUUUCUGGUGGGAGCGGCCGGUCCGCCGUAAGGUGUGUACUUGGUUGUCUCCUGUCAUCCUUGUGGGAACUGCUCUGGCAUUAAGUUGUCGGGGUUAGGGAACACAUCGUUUACUGUGAAAAAAUUAGAGUGUUUAAAGCAGUCUUAUGCCGUUGAAUACAUUAGCAUGGAAUAAUAAGAUAGGACUUUGGCGUCUAUUUUGUUGGUUUGCACACCAAGGUAAUGAUUAAUAGGGAUAGUUGGGGGUAUUCGUAUUUAAUUGUCAGAGGUGAAAUUCUUGGAUUUAUGAAAGACGAACUUCUGCGAAAGCAUUUACCAAAGAUGUUUUCAUUAA
This 380-nucleotide ribosomal RNA is filed under the name uncultured eukaryote. RNAcentral's name for it is "partial 18S ribosomal RNA". It matches the Rfam family "Eukaryotic small subunit ribosomal RNA", at positions 592 to 976 of the family's 1831-position model. The record is from RNAcentral.